AACAAUAUACCAAAUCCAGUAGUUCUUGGUCUUCCUCUUAGUCCACUACCUCUUGGCCUUCCUCUAACACUGGCUAUAAUAUCCUCAGAAGUUCUUGAUCUCAUACUUCCAGUAUCCUGAUGUAAGAUAAAUUAGCUUCUAGUACAGAUUAACUAAAAUACUUUCUUAACUAAAAUAAAUACUCACAGAUGCACUUGUAACAGCUGAUGGUUGAGUAUUUCUGGCCCUGGUAGUUGCAGAAUCACUUGUAGGACCUGAUUGUUGAGUUGUUGUUUCAG
Molecule: long non-coding RNA, 278 nt
Filed under: Nicotiana benthamiana
Lineage: Eukaryota; Viridiplantae; Streptophyta; Magnoliopsida; Solanales; Solanaceae
Description: long non-coding RNA (NBEN_LNC038856)
Source: RNAcentral